Canis lupus familiaris (dog) is the source of this 5730-nucleotide RNA transcript. It is a transcript of the gene named family with sequence similarity 170 member A, with no coding region annotated. NCBI's taxonomy places the organism in Eukaryota, Metazoa, Chordata, Mammalia, Carnivora, Canidae. The transcript has 11 exons. The record is from RefSeq and is a predicted model, not a curated record.
CUCCAUACUGGUUUCCACAGUGUUUGCACCAAGCUUGCAUUCCCACCAAAGUGCUGGAGGUUUCCUUUUUCUCCACUCUUCAUGAAAACCACAAAGAGGACUAGAAGCAACCUGACAGUUUGUACUCUAAGGUGUUUCUCAACCAGAAUUAAGCUCCUUGAGAGAAAAACCUUUUAUCUGUUUUGUUCAUAAGUGUUCAAACAGCAUCUAGAGAGCUUGGCACAUAGUAGAGACUCAAUAAAGAUUUAUGGAAUGAAGAAUGAAUGAAGAAGGAAUGAGUGAAGUAUGUCCCAACCUGGCUUUGCCUUACUACUGUGAUAAAUCCCACUGGUCCUCAAUUGGAAAACCUGAGCUGGUACAUUGGAAUCAUCUUUCUUUUUGUGAAGAGAGGUUCAAAUUUUUUAAAGAUUUAUUUAUUUAUUUGAGAGAGAGAGAGAAAGAGAGAGAGAGAGAGGAGAGGGGCUGAAGAAGAGGGAGAAAGAAUCUGAAACAGUCUCAGCACUGAGCGUGGAGCCUGAUGUGGGGCUCCAUCCAACUACCAUGAGAUCAUGAUCUGAGCCAAAAGGAGAAGUUCAAUUCUUUCAGAAAUUCUGGGUCUAAGAAGGAUGCCUUAAGAAACUUCCUGCUUCUGAACAAACAAAAGCAGAAAUAGAUCCAUAAACACAGAGAACAAAUAGAUGACUACCAGAGGCAAAGGGCAAAAUGGGUGCAGGGGGAAGAAAAAGAAAAUUAUCUUCCUUGGAAUGAAGGGAUUAGAACUCCUAAUGAAAUUUCAACUCCUAAUGAAGUAACGGUCAUCAGUGGUUACUAAUGCUAUUUGUUGAAAGGCUGAUGGGAUCAUUAUAGUUUCAGGAUCACCUGACAGCACAGGAACCCACUGAUCAAUCUCAACAUCGUUAAAAAUUGGAACAACUUUAUGUGCUUAAUGUUGUGAUGUAAUAGGAAGGCACACAACACCACUUAUACCGCUGAUAAAAUCAUCUUGCCCUAGCAAGAAACUGAACAUAAUCUAAUUAACUCUCUAGAUUUAACUACCUGUUUAGAAGGAGAUAUGGGUAACAGGAGACCUUGAAUGGCAUCACAAGGAUACAAUGAACCACUUGAAGCUGCAGAAAAUGUUACAGGAUAAAUAAUUUAGUUUCUUCAACAAAUGAGUGCUCCCCAACAGGUAGGAAGAGCUGUCACAGGCUAAAAGGCUCACCAGUUGCAAUGUCUGGACCUUGUUUGGAUCUUGAUUUCAGUGAAGGAGGUAUAACAAAAGAUAUUUUAAUAUGAUUGGAGGAAUUCAAGUAUGGCUUGGUUAUUAAGUGAUACCAUGAAAUUGUGGUUAAAUUUGUUGGGUAAGAAUGAUAGAACUGUUGUGUUAAAAAAAAUGAUACAACAAACCUCCUUAUCUAUUGGAUAUAAAUACUGCUGCCUUCAGGGAGAGAUGACAUAUGUCUGAGAUUUUUUCAAAAUACAGUUUCCCUCACCCCCACACACUCCCAGAAACAUCUAAACUAAAAGAAAUGACGAGAAGCUAUGUGUGUGUGUAUAUGGUACGGGGUGCAGGUGAGGGUGAUGGGACGAGAAUGAGAGAAUAUUGGUAAUUGUUCAAGCUGGGUGAUAGGUCCAUGGAGCCACAUCCCCAUUAUACAAUGUCGUUCACUUUUGUGUAUGAAAAUUUCUACCACAAGAAGCUUUUUAAAAGUCCUCCUUGUCCCUUCUUAACUAGGGAUUCCAAGAAACAGGAAAGUUGAAUCUCAUCAGCAGAUCCUUACAAUACUGAACUUGUCCUGUUUUCACUAUGGACUGUUGGAGACCGGGACAUUCUGCAGUGCCUUUCAGAUUUGAACUCCCCUUAGUUCGGGGGGGAUUCCUGGUAUCAGUGACUUCUGGAGUUUACCUCAUUCCCGCACACCAGUACUCCUGCAGGAUCAUGGCCACUGCCUCGAAAAGAGGUGUCUCUCAUUUUAGAUUGAAAUCAGGAGGAUCCAGAUGGGUUGCCGCUUAUAACUGGUAUACAUUUCAGCCCACAAGCAGAGGUACGCAAGAAAUAGCACAAAAUUGUUUUUGUAACUCCACUUAAUUUGUAUUUUAAGCCUUGAUCCCGCUGGUGUCCUGUUUGGAUUUCCACCCAUCCCUGUUUGGAAAUGAUACUGAGCCACAGCUAAUGAAGGUUGAGGCGAGAGCAUGGUUACUAUUUAUUGGAGUACCCAGGUAUAGCUUAGAUGUCCAUCAGCUUGGUUGUCAUGUCUCCUUGAGAUUUGGUGGCUCUUGUGUCCUGUGUGGGACAGGUCACCAUGAUUUUGCUUGUAUGCACAGUACAGCCAUUUCCUCUUGGAGCUAUUGCCACAUCUUUUUGUCACCUCUAACUACACUUUGGAGACUCCUGGCCACUGGUCCACAGAGCUCUCUCUGACAAUCGGUACCUCUCCACAAUCUAGUAGGUAAAGAAGACAGGAAGUACUUCAUUUCAAGAAUCCUGCUUCUGUUAGGUUUCUGCCCAAGUAUCCUCUCUGUACAGCAGUUGGGGAUUUUAGAAAUAAAAGCCAAAAGCAUAAGCAUGAUAUUGCUGCUUUUAGCCUGCCAUGGCCCUCCUCUGGCCAGUAUAGACAGAGUCUGCUACCCACUUGAAUGCAGAAGAGAAGGGUAGAAAAUAACAGGAGAAAGGAAAAACAAUCAAACAGGAGCAGAUUAGCAUCUCAAAAUAUCCUACCACUCUUAAGAAGAUGUGAGUUGAAUUCACGGGAGAGGUUCCAUGGGGAAGAGACCCUAUUUUUUGAAAAUGGGCUCUGUGCAUCUGCAAAGACUGUGUGGGAUCCAGGUCUCCAGAAUGCUCUGAUGUCAUCGGUCAGGUCAUAGAACCCCUCCCGCUGUGGGCCUGGUGACCUUUGAACCUUAACAGCCCUGUGCUGGGGGGAGCACUGGGCAGUGCUGCUGGUUCUCUAAGUGGUCUGAGUUCCUCAGCCAUUUAGAAGACUCGAUGAUUUUUAUAUAUAUUGGGUCACCUCAACAAAUUUCCUGAGAGUCAAGAAGGGCCAGCCAGUAGGGAAAAGGAGGAACUGGGUGUUACGCAUCUUCUAAGCAACUCCUGUAGCUGGUACCAUGAAACAGCGACAAAAGAGGAAACAUCUGGAAAAUGAAGAGUCCUCAGGAACUGCCAAGCAGGGAGGAGGAGUCUCGAAGUCACAGGAGGAUGCCCCUCAGGUUGAAUCAACUGGGGAGGCUAAAGGCUGGGGCGCAGGGGUAGAGGAGGUAUCCUCUGCCUCCGAAUACUUCUCCUGUGUUUCUUCUCCACUCGAGCUCAUCCAUAGUGGACUCUGGAGAGUACAUCGAGACAGUCCCCAGCCUAGAUCACCCCUAGCCCAGGUUCAGGAACGAGGGGAGACUGCUCCCCCCUCACACCAUGUCUCCUCGUCCCCUUCGUCUUAUAAGACCUGUGUGUCCUCUCUGUACAUAAACAAAAAAGAAAGGGGCAUGAAAAUAUACUACAUGCAGGUCCAGAUGAGAAAGGGUGUGGCUGUCUCCUGGGAGACAGAGGAGACCUCAGAGUCCGUAGAAAAGCAGCCCAGGCUGGAAGAAGUGACCCUUCCUGAGGCCGUGCGGGGCCCGGCGGCGGCGGCCGUGGGCCGGGAGCGCCCAGGAGGAGGCGGAGCCGAGUGAGGCGGCGCGGCCAGGCCCGAGGGGAAGGCCCCGGAAGACCUCGGCUCCCAGCGACCCUGGAGCCGGUGCCCGGGCUGCGGGUUUCAUUCUCCGAAGGACAAGAACGAUUGAGAUUCAUGAGCCAGAAGAUCCCAGAAGAUGGUGUGGCCUUCUCUUGGGAGAGGGAGAAAAAGAGACCACGGGGAGAGUAGCAGACAGGAUGCCUAUGAUGUGAAGCAAGAUGAAGGAAGCGGCACUUGGUUUAGCAUCAAUAUCAUAUGCAAUAAAGGCUGUUUCCAAACCUCUCCAGCAUAUAUUCUUGAAUGAAAAUGAUCUAUCCAUCUACCCCCCCACCUCCUGCCCCAUUUACAUCUGUCUCUCUAGUGGCUUACGCACUAGGUUUCAUAGAAGCACCUACAAUCCUUUUCCAGAAGUGGUAGUCCUCAUGCGCCUGGGAUUGAGAAGGCUUCUACGUGACAAUUUCCACAAGGCUGGUUUCCACAUCACACAUGAGACCAGGACAGAUACGUCGAGUUCAGACGAGGUCAUUGGACGCUGUCAUCCCUGAACUUCAUCGCCACCCCACUGCUACCAGUCCCUGGAACUACAGAUAUCUAGGAGGCACUGAAGACUCGUUUCAAUGCACAAGGCUGUCCAUGGAGUGAAAGGCAUUCUUGGAUAAGUGGAUGGUUUCCAUCCUUUCUCUAGAGCCAACAGUAUUUUGUAGAGCCUUCCAGGCUUCUGACAGUCACGAAGGGCCGGGUUGUUGGAAGGAUUGCCACCUGCCAGCAGGCUACCUCCAGCCAGUAACUUGAAGCACGAAGUAAAAUCACCUCCAAAUGGGAAGAACUAAGGAGGCAGAAGAAAUCAUCUCAGGACCUGAAAAGGAGUCUGGUGCCUGCAAUAGCUGAAUGGAAAUAGCAGCUAGAAAAAAAAGAGAAGAUAAGGGAUUCUGGGGCAGGAUGCUGGAAGCAUGUAACAGCUAAGGGCCUUUCCAACUCCUGGGCCUUUCUACUUUGUCCUCUUCCUGACAUCCAACCUCGUGAGAAAGAAAAUGUAUUCUAGAGACCUUUGGUCAAAUUCCCUUGUAUGGACCCUUCCCAUACAAUGUUUAUCUUCUUUUGUUCUCUCGAGAAAAAGAUUAAGUUAACAACUGUGAUGAUUAAAGAGGAGUGCCACCUGAGGAGAUGUGCAUAUACCACAGGUUGUGAGAAAUGGGGACAUGUGCUAACUUAUACAUUCUUCAAAGAAGCAUCUCUGGACCAGACCUGUGCUGGUCCCAUAUUCAGUGCAGGUUCCUGGAACAGCGAGGGACCUGCCUCUUAGGCUUGCUUCAAAUUAGGCAAUGGAGUUAUGAUUGGACUUUGUCAUAGGAAACCUUUUCUGCUUCCAAAGAAGUUAUAAAAAAGUCAGAACAUUUCUCCUUAAAACUGAUUACUGAAUUCUUUAUUUAUCUAAGACCCUCUCUUCUACCAGUGUGUGUGUGUGUUUAUGUGAGAAGUGUGUGUGUGUGUGGGAGAGAUAGAGAGAGAGAGAGAGAGAGAGAGAGAGAGAGAACAAGAUCCAGGUCUGCUCAGACAUUGAAGAAGCAAUCUUAAAAUCACAAAGAUAAAUUCAGUAUGUCUCUGUGAAUUAAGUUCAGUACAUUUUUAGGUCUAGCCUGGUCUGUCUCUUGGUAUAAAAUAUUUACCUCACUUUAUUUUAUUUUAUUAUUAUUAUUUUUUACCCCACUUUAUUUUAAAAGAAGAAAACUGAUGCCUGGCUCAGGGAAGGGAGCCACUCCUGAAAGCCUCCUUUGUUUUACUUUUAAGGGAAGUAAGAAGAUACUUCUGUAGAAGUAGUUUUAGGAUAUGAAGGAAGCCUCUAGUCAUGCUAAUGAAAAAUCUAUGAUUCUUUCAAGCACAGAUGCAAUGAAAGGUUUCUUUUUCUCAUUGUACAUGUGUGUUCCUAUGUCAACAUUCAGAUUAACAAUUAUGUGUCACAGUCACCUAUGUGAUAAAGGGUUAGUAUUCAAAAUCUGUAAAGAACUUAUCAAACUCAAACCCCCAAAUCAAUCCAGUUAAGAAAUGGGCAGGAGACCUGAAAAGACAUUUUUCCAAAGAAGAC